This 255-nucleotide ribosomal RNA is filed under the name uncultured bacterium. RNAcentral describes it as "partial 16S ribosomal RNA". It matches the Rfam family "Bacterial small subunit ribosomal RNA", at positions 524 to 776 of the family's 1533-position model. The record is from RNAcentral.
UACGUAGGGUGCGAGCGUUGUCCGGAAUUAUUGGGCGUAAAGGGCUCGUAGGCGGUCUGUUGCGUCGGGAGUGAAAAACUCAGGGCUUAACCCUGAGCCUGCUUCCGAUACGGGCAGACUAGAGGUAUGCAGGGGGAGAACGGAAUUCCUGGUGUAGCGGUGAAAUGCGCAGAUAUCAGGAGGAACACCGGUGGCGAAGGCGGGUCUCUGGGCAGUAACUGACGCUGAGGAGCGAAAGCGUGGGGAGCGAACAGG